Molecule: long non-coding RNA, 488 nt
Filed under: Dromaius novaehollandiae (emu)
Lineage: Eukaryota; Metazoa; Chordata; Aves; Casuariiformes; Dromaiidae
Description: lncRNA (ENSDNVG00000014887.1)
Source: RNAcentral
UUGUUGCAGAAUAAAAUGGGCUCUGCACACAAGAAGCUGAAGAUUUUUGUGAUGUUCCUGUCUCUGGCUACUUUCACAGUCAUGGUGAUACUGAACGCUGGCAAUGCCACCGGGCUGUUCAAAGGUCUAUUCCGGAGCACCCCAGGAAACAUCUCGGAGAAGUACGACACGGAUUUCACACCAGCUGGCUGGACUUUUCUCAUCUGGAACGUCAUCUAUGCUUGGCAGCUUGCGUGGCUGCUCUACGCGCUCUCGGGGAUCUGUCGAAGGUAUUUUCCCCGCGUACAGUGUGAGGGUAAGGGGGGCCUCUUCCCUGCUGCUGCUCAGUCCGUUCUCCCCAUUUCUGGGGUUUCCAGUCAGAAUAAACCCUGCAGUUCCUCUUGGCUGGAAGUGCUGAAGCUCUGCUACAGGAGUGUCCUUUAGGUUCAGCAUCCAGAGCUGUGACUGGGAGCAGUUUGGUGGCAUGUAUGAACUGCUCUAACUUGUGG